RNAcentral lists this ribosomal RNA (193 nucleotides) under uncultured Eubacteriales bacterium. Its description in RNAcentral is "uncultured Clostridiales bacterium partial 16S ribosomal RNA". It matches the Rfam family "Bacterial small subunit ribosomal RNA", at positions 140 to 334 of the family's 1533-position model. Lineage: Bacteria; Bacillati; Bacillota; Clostridia; Eubacteriales. The record is from RNAcentral.
GGGAUAGCCGUUGGAAACGACGAAUAAUACCCUAUGAAACUAUCACUUCGCAUGAAGCGAUAGUCAAAGUGUUAGCGGUGUAAGAUGGACUUGCGUCUGAUUAGCUAGUUGGUGAGAAAAAGCCCACCAAGGCAACGAUCAGUAGCCGGCUUGAGAGAGUGUACGGCCACAUUGGGACUGAGACACGGCCCAG